Molecule: ribosomal RNA, 468 nt
Filed under: uncultured bacterium
Lineage: Bacteria
Description: partial 16S ribosomal RNA
Rfam family: Bacterial small subunit ribosomal RNA
Source: RNAcentral
GACGAACGCUGGCGGCGUGCUUAACACAUGCAAGUCGAACGGAAAGGCCCUGCUUUUGUGGGGUGCUCGAGUGGCGAAAGGGUGAGUAACACGUGAGUAACCUGCCCUUGACUUUGGGAUAACUUCAGGAAACUGGGGCUAAUACCGGAUAGGAGCUCCUGCUGCAUGGUGGGGGUUGGAAAGUUUCGGCGGUUGGGGAUGGACUCGCGGGUUAUCAGCUUGUUGGUGGGGUAGUGGCUUACCAAGGCUUUGACGGGUAGCCGGCCUGAGAGGGUGACCAGGCACAUUGGGCCUGCGAUACGGCCCAGAAUCCUACGGGACGCAGCAGUGGGGAAUAUUGCGCAAUGGGCGGAAGCCUGAUACAGCGACCCCGCGUGCGGGAUGACGGCCUGCGGGUGGUAAACCGCUUUCGCCUGUGACGAAGCGUGAGUGACGGUAAUGGGUAAAGAAGCACCGGCUAACUACGUG